RNAcentral lists this long non-coding RNA (916 nucleotides) under Taeniopygia guttata (zebra finch). Its description in RNAcentral is "lncRNA (ENSTGUG00000022176.1)". Lineage: Eukaryota; Metazoa; Chordata; Aves; Passeriformes; Estrildidae. The record is from RNAcentral.
UGGCAGGAAUACUUUAAGAAAUUGGCGUGGCAACUCCAGCCAUUCCUUUUAGUCUUUAUUUCUUCUGUUCUGGAUGGCUUCUUAAGAGAUUAUAUUGCUGGCUGGGCUUAGCUGGGACACCUUGACUUAGUUCUGUGAGCCAUGGUGGCUAUUUUUUAUCCCCAGAUAAGAGCUGGAAACCAAGAGGAGUUUCAGGAGCCCACCCUAAGGACAUGAAAUAAUUUAAAAGACCAUGUUUAGAAGAGAAUUUAAAUACUAGAAAGAAUUUAAAUACUAGAAAAUAGACAAACACUAAAUAAAUCUGGAUUAGACUGUUUCCAAACCUCUCAAAUGUAGUUACAGUGCUGCUUGCUUGACCUGCCAAAGAAAUGCCAGAAAACAGUUUCUCCACUAUGACUUUUCCCAGCAUUUCUUCCUUGCCUGACUGGUUUGCUGAGACAAGAAGUCUGUCCCUGUACAGUCCUCUGGAAAGAAGACAAGGAGAACCCAGCUUUAAGGACAGAGAUUGAACUCUGAUGCCAACCACUCUCAUGGCUGAGGCCUAUUUUCCAUUGAUUUUGGAGCUGAAGAGACAUCUCUUACUGUGCAAGGACAGGCUAUGCUCAGGAUGGAUUAGGAGCUCUAUCUAAAAAAACAGUGUUGGUUUUUCCUGGAGAGAUUGGCUCCUAUAAAGGGCAAAAGCCAUUUGAUCUUACACAGAAGUUUAUGGUCUCCCUUCCAUCUCAAAGUCCUCCUCAUUAUCAAGGCAGGAGAAUGUUUUGCAGGUACUCAGAGAAUGGAAGGGCCAGUUAGGAGGCUGAGCAAAGCCACUACUACAGGUAGCAAGGAACUGUAUCUCAUUCCCAGUGACAUUGCUGCGGAGAUGCACAAGAGGAACACCAAAUUCCAAACUUGCAGCAGUAAUGACCUUCAGUAA